GAUGAACGCUGGCGGCGUGCCUAAUACAUGCAAGUCGAGCGAACAGACGAGGCGCUUGCUCCUCUGACGUUAGCGGCGGACGGGUGAGUAACACGUGUAUCACCUACCUAUAAGACUGGGAUAACUUCGGGAAACCGGAGCUAAUCCCGUAUAAUCUAUUGAACCGCAUUGUUCAAUAGUGAAAUACGGUUUUGCUGUCACUUAUCGCUGGAUCCCGGCCGCAUUGGCUAGUUGUUACGGUAACGGGUUACCACGGCAACCAUGCGUAGCCGACCUGUCAGAGGGAUAGGCGACACGAGAGCGGGGACGGGGUCCAGAGUCCUACGGGAGGCAGCAGAAGGCAACCUGCCGCAAUGGGCGAAAGCCUGACGGAGCAGCGCGGCGUGAGAGAUGAAGGUCUUCGGAUCGUAAAACUCUGUUAUGAGGGAAGAACAAAUGUGUAAGUAACUAUGCACGUCUUGACGGUACCUAGUCAGAAAGCCACGGCUAACUACGUG
This 497-nucleotide ribosomal RNA is filed under the name uncultured bacterium. RNAcentral's name for it is "partial 16S ribosomal RNA". It matches the Rfam family "Bacterial small subunit ribosomal RNA", at positions 28 to 507 of the family's 1533-position model. The record is from RNAcentral.